Molecule: ribosomal RNA, 2893 nt
Filed under: Escherichia coli
Lineage: Bacteria; Pseudomonadati; Pseudomonadota; Gammaproteobacteria; Enterobacterales; Enterobacteriaceae
Description: bacterial LSU rRNA
Rfam family: Bacterial large subunit ribosomal RNA
Source: RNAcentral
ACUAAGCGUACACGGUGGAUGCCCUGGCAGUCAGAGGCGAUGAAGGACGUGCUAAUCUGCGAUAAGCGUCGGUAAGGUGAUAUGAACCGUUAUAACCGGCGAUUUCCGAAUGGGGAAACCCAGUGUGAUUCGUCACACUAUCAUUAACUGAAUCCAUAGGUUAAUGAGGCGAACCGGGGGAACUGAAACAUCUAAGUACCCCGAGGAAAAGAAAUCAACCGAGAUUCCCCCAGUAGCGGCGAGCGAACGGGGAGCAGCCCAGAGCCUGAAUCAGUGUGUGUGUUAGUGGAAGCGUCUGGAAAGGCGCGCGAUACAGGGUGACAGCCCCGUACACAAAAAUGCACAUGCUGUGAGCUCGAUGAGUAGGGCGGGACACGUGGUAUCCUGUCUGAAUAUGGGGGGACCAUCCUCCAAGGCUAAAUACUCCUGACUGACCGAUAGUGAACCAGUACCGUGAGGGAAAGGCGAAAAGAACCCCGGCGAGGGGAGUGAAAAAGAACCUGAAACCGUGUACGUACAAGCAGUGGGAGCACGCUUAGGCGUGUGACUGCGUACCUUUUGUAUAAUGGGUCAGCGACUUAUAUUCUGUAGCAAGGUUAACCGAAUAGGGGAGCCGAAGGGAAACCGAGUCUUAACUGGGCGUUAAGUUGCAGGGUAUAGACCCGAAACCCGGUGAUCUAGCCAUGGGCAGGUUGAAGGUUGGGUAACACUAACUGGAGGACCGAACCGACUAAUGUUGAAAAAUUAGCGGAUGACUUGUGGCUGGGGGUGAAAGGCCAAUCAAACCGGGAGAUAGCUGGUUCUCCCCGAAAGCUAUUUAGGUAGCGCCUCGUGAAUUCAUCUCCGGGGGUAGAGCACUGUUUCGGCAAGGGGGUCAUCCCGACUUACCAACCCGAUGCAAACUACGAAUACCGGAGAAUGUUAUCACGGGAGACACACGGCGGGUGCUAACGUCCGUCGUGAAGAGGGAAACAACCCAGACCGCCAGCUAAGGUCCCAAAGUCAUGGUUAAGUGGGAAACGAUGUGGGAAGGCCCAGACAGCCAGGAUGUUGGCUUAGAAGCAGCCAUCAUUUAAAGAAAGCGUAAUAGCUCACUGGUCGAGUCGGCCUGCGCGGAAGAUGUAACGGGGCUAAACCAUGCACCGAAGCUGCGGCAGCGACGCUGAUGCGUUGUUGGGUAGGGGAGCGUUCUGUAAGCCUGCGAAGGUGUGCUGUGAGGCAUGCUGGAGGUAUCAGAAGUGCGAAUGCUGACAUAAGUAACGAUAAAGCGGGUGAAAAGCCCGCUCGCCGGAAGACCAAGGGUUCCUGUCCAACGUUAAUCGGGGCAGGGUGAGUCGACCCCUAAGGCGAGGCCGAAAGGCGUAGUCGAUGGGAAACAGGUUAAUAUUCCUGUACUUGGUGUUACUGCGAAGGGGGGACGGAGAAGGCUAUGUUGGCCGGGCGACGGUUGUCCCGGUUUAAGCGUGUAGGCUGGUUUUCCAGGCAAAUCCGGAAAAUCAAGGCUGAGGCGUGAUGACGAGGCACUACGGUGCUGAAGCAACAAAUGCCCUGCUUCCAGGAAAAGCCUCUAAGCAUCAGGUAACAUCAAAUCGUACCCCAAACCGACACAGGUGGUCAGGUAGAGAAUACCAAGGCGCUUGAGAGAACUCGGGUGAAGGAACUAGGCAAAAUGGUGCCGUAACUUCGGGAGAAGGCACGCUGAUAUGUAGGUGAAGUGAUUUACUCAUGGAGCUGAAAUCAGUCGAAGAUACCAGCUGGCUGCAACUGUUUAUUAAAAACACAGCACUGUGCAAACACGAAAGUGGACGUAUACGGUGUGACGCCUGCCCGGUGCCGGAAGGUUAAUUGAUGGGGUUAGCGCAAGCGAAGCUCUUGAUCGAAGCCCCGGUAAACGGCGGCCGUAACUAUAACGGUCCUAAGGUAGCGAAAUUCCUUGUCGGGUAAGUUCCGACCUGCACGAAUGGCGUAAUGAUGGCCAGGCUGUCUCCACCCGAGACUCAGUGAAAUUGAACUCGCUGUGAAGAUGCAGUGUACCCGCGGCAAGACGGAAAGACCCCGUGAACCUUUACUAUAGCUUGACACUGAACAUUGAGCCUUGAUGUGUAGGAUAGGUGGGAGGCUUUGAAGUGUGGACGCCAGUCUGCAUGGAGCCGACCUUGAAAUACCACCCUUUAAUGUUUGAUGUUCUAACGUUGACCCGUAAUCCGGGUUGCGGACAGUGUCUGGUGGGUAGUUUGACUGGGGCGGUCUCCUCCUAAAGAGUAACGGAGGAGCACGAAGGUUGGCUAAUCCUGGUCGGACAUCAGGAGGUUAGUGCAAUGGCAUAAGCCAGCUUGACUGCGAGCGUGACGGCGCGAGCAGGUGCGAAAGCAGGUCAUAGUGAUCCGGUGGUUCUGAAUGGAAGGGCCAUCGCUCAACGGAUAAAAGGUACUCCGGGGAUAACAGGCUGAUACCGCCCAAGAGUUCAUAUCGACGGCGGUGUUUGGCACCUCGAUGUCGGCUCAUCACAUCCUGGGGCUGAAGUAGGUCCCAAGGGUAUGGCUGUUCGCCAUUUAAAGUGGUACGCGAGCUGGGUUUAGAACGUCGUGAGACAGUUCGGUCCCUAUCUGCCGUGGGCGCUGGAGAACUGAGGGGGGCUGCUCCUAGUACGAGAGGACCGGAGUGGACGCAUCACUGGUGUUCGGGUUGUCAUGCCAAUGGCACUGCCCGGUAGCUAAAUGCGGAAGAGAUAAGUGCUGAAAGCAUCUAAGCACGAAACUUGCCCCGAGAUGAGUUCUCCCUGACUCCUUGAGAGUCCUGAAGGAACGUUGAAGACGACGACGUUGAUAGGCCGGGUGUGUAAGCGCAGCGAUGCGUUGAGCUAACCGGUACUAAUGAACCGUGAGGCUUAACC